UGUGUUAAAUACCCAGUCCCAGCUGGUGA
This 29-nucleotide non-coding RNA is filed under the name Mus musculus (house mouse). Lineage: Eukaryota; Metazoa; Chordata; Mammalia; Rodentia; Muridae. The record is from RNAcentral.